RNAcentral lists this ribosomal RNA (124 nucleotides) under Patagioenas fasciata monilis. The record is from RNAcentral. Lineage: Eukaryota; Metazoa; Chordata; Aves; Columbiformes; Columbidae.
AUAUGCAGCCACACCCCCCUGAGAACAGCCCCGCUCAUGUGAUCUGGGAAGCUAAGCAGGGUCGGCCCCGGUCAGCACUUGGAUGGGAGACCAUGAAGGCCAAUGGGACCUGGGGUGGGUUAGA